GAACGCUGGCGGCAUGCUUUACACAUGCAAGUCGAACGGUAACAGGCCUUCGGGUGCUGACGAGUGGCGAACGGGUGAGUAAUACAUCGGAACGUGCCCGAUCGUGGGGGAUAACGAAGCGAAAGCUUUGCUAAUACCGCAUAAGAUCUACGGAUGAAAGCAGGGGACCGCAAGGCCUUGCGCGAACGGAGCGGCCGAUGGCAGAUUAGGUAGUUGGUGGGAUAAAAGCUUACCAAGCCGACGAUCUGUAGCUGGUCUGAGAGGACGACCAGCCACACUGGGACUGAG
RNAcentral lists this ribosomal RNA (288 nucleotides) under Nephroselmis pyriformis. RNAcentral's name for it is "partial Bacterial small subunit ribosomal RNA". It matches the Rfam family "Bacterial small subunit ribosomal RNA", at positions 31 to 323 of the family's 1533-position model. The record is from RNAcentral. Lineage: Eukaryota; Viridiplantae; Chlorophyta; Nephroselmidophyceae; Nephroselmidales; Nephroselmidaceae.